GUUCGAAAUAAAAAUUUUAAAUUAUGAAAAAGAAACAGGAAAAGUAAUUUUAAUUCAACAUUUACAGAAUAAUCAGGAGAAGAAGUGUUGGUAACUUCUUUUGAAACAAAUUGUAUCACAAGAAGAAGUGACAGUCUUACUGAUGCUUGGUCAAAGACUAAAAGAGCUGAGGACACAUUCAACCUGGAUAUAACAGAAAAAAAUGCAUUAAAAAUCUGCUUAAAGUAAAAAAAAAAUUGCGCACGAAAAAAGAAAAACCGAUGCUUUAUGUGUUUCUCAAGUACAAAAAUUUCCUCCAUCUUUCAUUUACAAAGAGCUUUAAAGUUUACUGAAUCUUUGUAGAAGUGAUGUCGAAUUGAGCCAUUGUGAAUCUGAUGGUUUGAUGAGCAGCAACAUUGGACUUCAAAAAAGAAAAGU
Molecule: long non-coding RNA, 417 nt
Organism: Hydra vulgaris (swiftwater hydra)
Lineage: Eukaryota; Metazoa; Cnidaria; Hydrozoa; Anthoathecata; Hydridae
Source: RefSeq, a predicted model, not a curated record